GCUUAGAGUUUGAUCCUGGCUCAGGAUGAACGCUGGCGGCGUGCCUAACACAUGCAAGUCGAACGGACUCUUCGGAGUCAGUGGCGGACGGGUGAGUAACGCGUGAGAACCUGCCUCUAGGAGGGGGAUAACAGCGGGAAACGGCUGCUAAUACCCCAUGAGCCGUAAGGUAAAAAGGAAUCCGCCUAGAGAGGGGCUCGCGUCCGAUUAGCUAGUUGGGGAGGUAAAAGCUCACCAAGGCGACGAUCGGUAGCUGGUCUGAGAGGAUGAGCAGCCACACUGGGACUGAGACACGGCCCAGACUCCUACGGGAGGCAGCAGUGGGGAAUUUUCCGCAAUGGGCGAAAGCCUGACGGAGCAACGCCGCGUGAGGGAAGAAGGCCUUUGGGUUGUAAACCUCUUUUCUCAGGGAAGAAGUUCUGACGGUACCUGAGGAAUCAGCCUCGGCUAACUCCGUGCCAGCAGCCGCGGUAAUACGGAGGAGGCAAGCGUUAUCCGGAAUUAUUGGGCGUAAAGCGUUCGUAGGCGGCCGUUCAAGUCUGCUGUCAAAGUCCGAGGCUCAACUUCGGGAAGGCAGUGGAAACUGAACAGCUAGAGGUCGGAAGGGGCAGAGGGAAUUCCCAGUGUAGCGGUGAAAUGCGUAGAUAUUGGGAAGAACACCGGUGGCGAAAGCGCUCUGCUGGGCCGAACCUGACGCUGAGGGACGAAAGCUAGGGGAGCGAAUGGGAUUAGAUACCCCAGUAGUCCUAGCCGUAAACGAUGGAGACUAGGUGUUGCCUGUAUCGACCCGGGCAGUGCCGAAGCCAACGCGUUAAGUCUCCCGCCUGGGGAGUACGCACGCAAGUGUGAAACUCAAAGGAAUUGACGGGGGCCCGCACAAGCGGUGGAGUAUGUGGUU
This 898-nucleotide ribosomal RNA is filed under the name uncultured bacterium. RNAcentral's name for it is "bacterial SSU rRNA". It matches the Rfam family "Bacterial small subunit ribosomal RNA", at positions 1 to 946 of the family's 1533-position model. The record is from RNAcentral.